GACGAGGUGGCCGAGUGGUUAAGGCGUUGGACUGCUAAUCCCAUGUGCUCUGCACGCGUGGGUUCGAAUCCAUCCUCGUCG
RNAcentral lists this transfer RNA (81 nucleotides) under Nilaparvata lugens (brown planthopper). RNAcentral's name for it is "tRNA-Ser". It matches the Rfam family "tRNA". Rfam says of the family: Transfer RNA (tRNA) molecules are approximately 80 nucleotides in length. Their secondary structure includes four short double-helical elements and three loops (D, anti-codon, and T loops). The record is from RNAcentral. Lineage: Eukaryota; Metazoa; Arthropoda; Insecta; Hemiptera; Delphacidae.